AACGAACGCUGGCGGCGUGCCUAACACAUGCAAGUCGAACGGAGUUAUAGUUGUAGCAAUACAGGUAUAGCUUAGUGGCGGACGGGUGAGUAACACGUAGGUAACCUACCCUUAGGCGGGGGACAACUCAGGGAAACUUGAGCUAAUACCGCAUAAAUCCACGGGCUGGGAUGCUUGUGGGGAAAGUGGCAACACACCUAAGGAUGGGCCUGCGGCCUAUCAGGUAGUUGGUGGGGUAAGAGCCCACCAAGCCGAAGACGGGUAGCCGGGCUGAGAGGUUGAACGGCCACACUGGAACUGAGACACGGUCCAGACUCCUACGGGAGGCAGCAGUGGGGAAUCUUGCGCAAUGGGGGAAACCCUGACGCAGCGACGCCGCGUGGAGGAUGAAGGUCUUCGGGUUGUAAACUCCUUUUCUUGG
This 421-nucleotide ribosomal RNA is filed under the name uncultured bacterium. Its description in RNAcentral is "bacterial SSU rRNA". It matches the Rfam family "Bacterial small subunit ribosomal RNA", at positions 29 to 442 of the family's 1533-position model. The record is from RNAcentral.